This 141-nucleotide small nuclear RNA is filed under the name Sciurus vulgaris (Eurasian red squirrel). RNAcentral's name for it is "U4 spliceosomal RNA (ENSSVLG00005015813.1)". It matches the Rfam family "U4 spliceosomal RNA". From Rfam's summary of the family: U4 small nuclear RNA (U4 snRNA) is a component of the major U2-dependent spliceosome. Lineage: Eukaryota; Metazoa; Chordata; Mammalia; Rodentia; Sciuridae. The record is from RNAcentral.
AGCUGUGUGCAGUGGCAGUAUCAUAGCCAAUGAGGUUUAUCUGAGGCAUGAUUAUUGCUAAUUUAAAAAAGGAACAGUUUAUGUAAUUAUAAAAGAGCAUUCUAUAAAUGUGCAUAAAAAUAUUGGAUAGUACGCAAAUGA